GCUCUAACGUUUGUUAUGACGUCUCAAAAUAUUUCUACCAGUAUGAAAGAUUGCGUAAAACAUUUGGAUUGCGCGGUUCUAGACAGAGCUUGACUGUUAGUACUUAGUACAAAUCAGCAACAUAAUGGUGAAAUUAUAACUCUGUUUAGGUCAAAGGCAACGGGAGAAGGUCAUUCGCCCAUCUGGAAUUGUUGAAGUAGGGUUAACAACGACGUGCUCGACUGUAUGUCUGACUGUGUGUAGAGUCGGUACGGCGCUGGGAGGUUAGGAGUUCGGUUCCCUGGAAACACCGUGAACCUCACGAACACUGAAACAAAGACCGAAGAAGGCAGGCUAUCUUGUAUUACGAGAAGCAGACAAGAAGCAGAACUCCAGUUGGAAGCUCUGAAGAAGGUGUAUGACAAACAUCGAAACGUAAGCAAAGUAAACUGACGGAGAAAGAUUGCGGCUAUCCCGUCAUACAUCCCUACCCCGCCGCCCAGAAAAGACGGAUGAUGCUGCUUACCUGGUGCUGCAGUUGACAGCAGCUCAGUUCUCCAUCGCCGCCAAGACCGCCGGAUUGGGAUGCGAACAUUAUCGUCAGCUCUGACCCCGAGGACGGUGAAGACAUUACCUCUAUGCUAGCCGCUUUCAUCACAUUCAUCAAAAUAUCUUCCCCAUUUUUUGACAAGAACAUAUUCCAGGCGUCCCUCCGCGAGGGGAGGGUAUUGAAGCGGGCCAUCAGUUUACCAGGGCUUGGCCGAGAAAAGUUGUGUGGUGUUUCCCUGCGCGGGGAAAAGCAGCUUGAUGGACGAUGUUUUCUGUGAGAAAACGGCAGGGUAACAGAAGAAGGAGGAGAAAUCCGGUUGGAAUAAUCCCAUUUCGCUCAUACUGCGCCCAGAAUUUUACACGCUAGGUUGGAAAGCCGAAAACGCAGACUAAAGAUUAUUGUGAUAGUAUAUAGAUUGCGUCACAACCCUCAGGUCGCCUGUAAAUCGUUAACAAUGUCAAAAAUUAUGAGGAAGUUCUGUCUGUCAUUGGUUGGGCCACGGGGAUCCGUCGUUUCGAAUGUCGCCCGUUCAAGUUUAAGUAGCUAUAAAAGUACAUAAAACCCUCUUUCUUGCUGCAGCAUCACGCCGAAUGCCGUGCUGCCAUUGGGAGAGACCAUAUUGAAUGCAGAAUGCGUACUUGGAGUGGGAAGUGACUUUUGCUUGUUAAUUAUUAGCGUGUCAUAAAAGUACUGAUGUUUGAAUUUGUGACGGUUAGGUCAGCGAGGGGAGACUCCCGGCAUUCCCUGCUGGCUCAUGAUUUACCGAGAAUUCGUUGACCUUGAACCGUAUAAUUUUAGUGAAUACAAAGGAAACCAAUGGGAGUGGAAGAGGAGCAAAUACAUGCACCUGUCUCUAGGCAGCAAGAAAUUUAUCCGCUAUUUGUUUUGUUGAGUGAACAAGUCCGCCAUCUUGGAUUGAAGUUGGCAAACUCAUUGCGUAGGCAGAAGCGCGCCACAUCCUUUUACGGACAGCAACGUCGCUCAGCGCUGCCCCCUACCGGCAGGCGUCAUCACUGCACUGUCAAGGAAUCCAGGACAAAUACAAGAGGCCACAAAUCAAGCCGAAAGCAAAUACGGGGUAGUAGGAACGGUCAGCGUGAUAUAUUGCAUCUGUGCUUAUCGCCAAAAGCGGAGGGGGAAACGAUUGAUGCCAGCCCACGACUCAAGGACAAAGUCACCCUAUGUAUGCAACAUAUUCCUCUCAAGUCACCGACAUGUAUGUGUGAAAAAAAACUUUCUUUCUGACAUACUGUUAGCUUAGUUACGCGAAAUCAGAGCUACAAAUACACAAAACGGUACCAUUUAAAUUGAUAUGAAAUGCAAUUCCAAUGUAUGAAUAAACCUCAUGUUAGACAUCUUAUAGAACAGCAAAGGACCUGAUUGUCAAAAAUGGACUAAAAAAUACGGACAACAGUUGGUCAAUGGUCAUUUACUGACCACGCGGCCGGCCCCUUGUGAAAUGUGAUAGCGUGGAAGUCAUUGACACGGGGCAGGCCGAGAUCUGUCCAUCUGCGCAGCACCAAAGCUCAGGGUUGGCGCCGGUUAGUCAUCCCGGACUCAUCAACCCAGAUCUAAUCUAAUUUCCCAAGGGGGACACCACGUAAAUAAUGUCGGUCUUCACACGCGGACGCUGUCGCUUAUGAACUUGACAUCAGAGGUAAGAAACUUACCAAGCACUCCUGGAUUAUAUACAACUGAUCUUAGCUCAAAUCCCAGACCACAAUUAAGCUCGGUUAGUUCUCUGUCUUGAAGUGUAGAAAGAAUAGUCCAGGGUAUAGUAAAUAUUGAGUUUAACAGACCGAUUUCUAAGAUGGGGCCCAGGAGACUGUAUGUAGUUGAUGGAGAAAUUUGACCUUCUAAUGAAUAUAUGAGGAAAGGUAGAUUCAAUUGAUUUUAUCGUUUUUUUUUUAGUUUCGUAACAAAUGACGAACUGUACGAAAAACUGGUUCAAGCUUAAUUUAAUACAAAAUCGUUACUUUUUAUAUAACCUGUUGUAUAGUAAGCAUACAUUGUAAUCGAGAAUUUGGCAAUAUAUUUAAGUUUCAACACAGUAAAAAGUGUUUUGCUGUUGCGACAAAAUUUCAGUUUGCAUGAGCUAAGAAUAAUAACAUUUAGUGCUAAAACUCAGAUAAAAAACGUUCUGCAACAAACUUUUCACAGUUGAGAACUUUUCACCAUUAAAAUCAAAAGCUGCAUCAGUACAAAAUUCGCAGUACAUUUUCGUUAGGAAAAAAAUGACAAAAACUGACA
This is a long non-coding RNA of Branchiostoma floridae (Florida lancelet), 2779 nucleotides long. RefSeq lists it as uncharacterized. NCBI's taxonomy places the organism in Eukaryota, Metazoa, Chordata, Leptocardii, Amphioxiformes, Branchiostomatidae. The transcript is spliced from 4 exons. The record is from RefSeq and is a predicted model, not a curated record.